GAUGAAGAACGUAGCGAAAUGCGAUACUUGGUGUGAAUUGCAGAAUCCCGUGAACCAUCGAGUCUUUGAACGCAAGUUGCGCCCGAAGCCAUUAGGCCGAGGGCACGCCUGCCUGGGCGUCACACGUCGUUGCCCCCCCAUCUAAUCCUUCGGGAUUGCGGGGGGCGGAUGAUGGCCUCCCGUGCGCCUCGCCGCGCGGUUGGCAUAAAUGCCAAGUCCUCGGCGACGCACGCCACGACAAUCGGUGGUUGCGAAACCUCGGUUGCCCGUCGUGUGCGGUCGUCGCGCAUCGAGGGCUCGAAAAAAUUGCCGGGUUCCGGCUCGGCUUUCAACGCGACCCCAGGUCAGGCGGGGUUACCCGCUGAAUUUAAGCAUAUCAAUAAGCGGAGGA
RNAcentral lists this unclassified non-coding RNA (391 nucleotides) under soil metagenome. Its description in RNAcentral is "partial contains 5.8S ribosomal RNA, internal transcribed spacer 2, and large subunit ribosomal RNA". The stretch from base 1 to 122 matches the Rfam family "5.8S ribosomal RNA", at positions 35 to 154 of the family's 154-position model. The record is from RNAcentral.